RNAcentral lists this ribosomal RNA (392 nucleotides) under Solibacillus silvestris. RNAcentral describes it as "bacterial SSU rRNA". It matches the Rfam family "Bacterial small subunit ribosomal RNA", at positions 94 to 483 of the family's 1533-position model. The record is from RNAcentral. Lineage: Bacteria; Bacillati; Bacillota; Bacilli; Caryophanales; Caryophanaceae.
GCUGGCGGACGGGUGAGUAACACGUGGGUAACCUACCUUAUAGACUGGGAUAACUCCGGGAAACCGGGGCUAAUACCGAAUAAUACUUUUUAACACAUGUUUGAAAGUUGAAAGACGGUUUCGGCUGUCACUAUAAGAUGGACCCGCGGCGCAUUAGCUAGUUGGUGAGGUAACGGCUCACCAAGGCAACGAUGCGUAGCCGACCUGAGAGGGUGAUCGGCCACACUGGGACUGAGACACGGCCCAGACUCCUACGGGAGGCAGCAGUAGGGAAUCUUCCACAAUGGACGAAAGUCUGAUGGAGCAACGCCGCGUGAGUGAAGAAGGAUUUCGGUUCGUAAAACUCUGUUGCAAGGGAAGAACAAGUAGCGUAGUAACUGGCGCUACCUUGA